This 241-nucleotide ribosomal RNA is filed under the name uncultured bacterium. RNAcentral's name for it is "partial 16S ribosomal RNA". It matches the Rfam family "Bacterial small subunit ribosomal RNA", at positions 1264 to 1500 of the family's 1533-position model. The record is from RNAcentral.
CAAGCGGAUCCCUUAAAGCNGUUCUCAGUUCGGACUGCAGUCUGCAACUCGACUGCACGAAGCUGGAAUCGCUAGUAAUCGCGGAUCAGCACGCCGCGGUGAAUACGUUCCCGGGCCUUGUACACACCGCCCGUCACACCAUGGAAGUCUGCAAUGCCCGAAGCCGGUGGCCUAACCACUUAUGUGGAAGGAGCCGUCUAAGGCAGGGCAGAUGACUGGGGUGAAGUCGUAACAAGGUACC